Molecule: long non-coding RNA, 5661 nt
Organism: Anolis carolinensis (green anole)
Lineage: Eukaryota; Metazoa; Chordata; Lepidosauria; Squamata; Anolidae
Exons: 2
Source: RefSeq, a predicted model, not a curated record
CCGCCCUCCAGAAAGGAAGUGCCUUGAGUGGCAGGGCGCCCGGCCAAUGGGGAGACUCCGGACUGGAGUCACGCAAGGCCCGCCCCCCCCUUGCUCCGGAGUGGAUCCGGAGUGGAGGAAAGGAAAGGAACCGCGGGGGAGGGAGGAGUUAGAGCGCCUUCGUCCCGCGCUAACUUCGGCCCCGUCUACACAGCCCGUGACCGAAUCACUACAGGAAAGGAGAUUCCACCUGAACAUCAGGAAGAACUUCCUCACUGUGAGAAGGGCUGUUCGACAGUGGAACUCUCUCCCCGGGGCCGUGGUGGAGGCUCCUUCCUUGGAGGCUUUUAAGCAGAGCCGGGAUGGCCAUCUGUCGGGGGUGCUUUGAAUGAGAUUUCCUGCUUCUUAGCAGGGGGUUGGACUGGAUGGCCCAUGUGGUCUCUUCCAACUCUACUAUUCUAUGAUUCUAUGAUCUAUGAUUCUAUGAAUCCGGAUUAUCUGCUUCGAACCGGGUUGUAGGGCUGUGUAGACUCGCAUAAUCCGGUUCAGAGCAGGUAAUCCGGAUUCCGAAACACGAUUACAUGGCAGUGUCGACUCAGAAUGGAUCUAGACUGCCAUAUACAGUAGAGUCUCGCUUAUCCAACAUAAACGGGCCGGCAGAACGUUGGAUAAGCGAAUAUGUUGGAUAAUAAGGAGAGAUUAAGGAAAAGCCUAUUAAACAUCAAAUUAGGUUAUGAUUUUACAAAUUAAGCACCAAAACAUCAUGUUAUACAACAAAUUUGAUGGAAAAAGUAGUUCAAUACGCAGUAAUGUUAUGUUGUAAUUUCUGUAUUUACAAAUUUAGCACUAAAAUAUCAUGAUGUAUUGAAAACAUUGACUACAAAAAUGCGUUGGAUAAUCCAGAACGUUGGAUAAGCGAGUCUUGGAUAAGUGAGACUCUACUGUAAUAUGUAAUAUAUUGUAUAGGGUAAAGGUAAAGGUUUCCCCUGACGUUAAGUCCAGUCAUGUCUGACUCUGGGGGUUGGUGCUCAUUGGCAUGUUUUCGAACUGCUAGGUUGGUAGAAGCUGGAGCUAACAGCAGGCGCUCACCCCGCUCCCGGGGCUUGAACCUGGGACCUUUCGGUCUCCAGCUCAGUGCUUUUAUACACUCUGCCACCGGAGCUCAAUAAUAUAUUGUAUAGACAUAUAAUAUUGGUAAUAAUAUUAUAAUGUAAUACAAUAUUAUACUACUAAUACAAUAUAAUAAUAUUAUUAAUUAUAUAUUACAGUAGAGUCUCACUUAUCCAACAUAAACGGGCUGGCAGAACGCUGGAUAAGCGAAUAUGUUGGAUAAUAAGGAGGGAUUAAGGAAAAGCCUAUUAAACAUCAAAUUAGGUUAUGAUUUUACAAAUUAAGCACCAAAACAUCAUGUUAUACAACAAAUUUGACAGAAAAAGUAGUUCAAUACGAAAUAAUGCUAUGCAGUAAUUACUGUAUUUAUGACUUUAGCACCAAAAUAUCACGAUAUAUUGAAAACAUUGACUACAAAAAUGCGUUGGAUAAUCCAGAAUGUUGGAUAAGCAAGUGUUGGAUAAGUGAGACUCUACUGUAAUGAUAUAAUACAAUAUAGUAAUUUAAUGCUUAUAUUGUGCUAUGCUAAUACUGUAAUUUGGAUUGUACAUGGCAGUGUAGAAGGGGCUCCAUAUAAUCCACUUCAAAGAAAACUAUCUGGAUUCAGAAACAGGAUUAUAUGACAGUGUGGAUUCAGAUUGGAUCCACACUGCCAUAUAAUCCAGAUUAUCAAAGCACAUCAUCCCAGUUAUCUGCUUUGAACUAUAAUACUAGAUUAUAUGAGUCUACAGUGCCCUAUAAUCCGGUUCAAAUAAAAUCAUCUGGAUUUUAUAUGGCAGUGUAGCUCCAGACCCAUAUAACACCAUGGCCCCUUCUACACUGCCAUAUAAUCCAGAUUAUCAAAACCGAUUAUCUUGAACUGGGUUAUGUGAGUCUACACUGCCACAUAAUCCAGUUCAAAGCAGAUAAUCUGGAUUUUAUAUGGCAGUGUAGAAGUGGCGUCAUAUAAUCCACUUCAAAGCAGAUAAUCCGGAUUCAGAAACCGGAUUAUAUGGCAGCGUGGACUCAGAAUGGAUCUACACUGCCAUAUAAUCCAGAUUAUCCAUGCAGAUCAUCCCCAUUAUCUGCUUUGAACUGGGUUAUAUGAAUCUGCACUGCCCUAUAAUCAAAGCAGAUAAUCUGGAUUUUAUAUGGCAGUGUAGAAUGUGUCGUGAUUUGCAAAGGCAGUCUGCUGUGUGUGUUAAAGUGGAAAAUGAAGUGCAUGGAGCUGAUUGGCCAAGCCUGCAAAGACCUGGGGAUUGAUUUGAUACUGUUUCUGUUCUGCUGCUGCAGAACCAGUUUGGAAAUGUUUUUUUCAGUGCUGAGUACUGCAGGGAAGAGAGCUGUGUACUCAGAGAGGCCUUGCUAUUUUGAGGCCUGUAUGCUACUGAGAAAAGAGGGUGAAGAACCAGGACUGUAUUGUUCUAUGAAACAGAUUUUGUGGACUGAGAAAGGACUGUUUAUGACUGUGGACUUCUGUAAGCGAUCAGAGGGACCAUUGUAAAUAUUACUGUUUUUGUAAUCUCUUGGAAUUGGUAAAGUUCCUGUAUUUUUGUUCUGCAAACCUGAGUGGCGUGUUAUUGUUCUGCGGGUGACUCUGGAUCGCGGACACAGGUAAGAGCUUCCAUUUAUCAUCAUCAAUCUGUAAUAGAAGGGGCUCCAUAUAAUCCACUUUAAAGCAGAUAAUCUAGAACGUAGAAGGAAGGCCGGCUCUUCCUCCCUCGCGCCGGCCUUCCUGUCUCUAUAGAGAAACAUCCUGUUCGGUCCAAAGAUAUUCCAGAUAUUCAAUUGGGUCUCAACUUCCUCCAAGUCACGAUUCCCAAGGAACUCCAUGAAGAAAUCCAACCCAUUUCCCACAAAGUAGCAAGUUCCUUCUUGACUCGAGUCUAAUGCUCACCUGGGAGUUUUAAAAAUAGUUUCCCCAGCUUAAAAAAAAAUUAAAUUUGACUGUAAACACUAUUUUGGGGUCCCUUGUCCUGAAAUAUUAGAAUAUAUAUGUAUGUGAUUUAAUUUGGGCUGACACGUCUUUAUGGUGUUUAUUGGAUUUAAUUCUCUGCAUUGAUUCCCAAGUUUGCCCUUACCUGGUGUAGACACACACCCCAGUACCUACUUGCCGAUUUAAAUUCUGGAUCUCCUGCAAUAUUAACUGGUAUUUAAUUUUUUUUGCAAAACAAGAAAAGUAAUCUGGAAAAGAUCUAAGCCAUGAGGAGAGGCAGCUGAUUCUGACUUUCUUGCCACAUCAUCUUCCAAAAAGAAGGCAAAGUGGCAGAAAGGGCUACUAAGAUAAAGACUGAAAGGAAUCAGUGAAGAAAGGAAGGAAGGAAGGAAGGAGGAAGUUUCCAUGUGGGAUCCUCAGCAGCACCUUUGCUACGGCAGUGACACCUCCAUUGGCCCAGUCAUGCGCUCCUUGCUGCCUCCGACGCACCCGAGGAGGAGGAGGCCCAGCAGGUCAGACAGCAUUGCAUUUCACCGGGAGACGCCCUGGCGUCACUGUGACUUCGGGAAGAGCGGCCAUGGCUCAAUUUGUGGCCAGAGGCCUAAGCAAGCAGGACACGGGCUCCUGGAAGGGACCCCAAGGGCUAUCCAGUCCAACCCCUUUCUCCCAGGGAGGGAAAUACAAUCAAUAUAAUCCACAAGUUACACACAUCCAACUUACAAACAGGGCUGAGACAACAGGAAGCGAGAGAAAUCCACUCCUGAAAGAGUUCUCAUGGGGAAAAGGAGUCUCCAUGGAAGCUUUAUCCCCAAUCCUUGGUUCCACAACAAAGCCAUUUUUCCAAAAUCCAAUUACACUACGUGACACAGGCUACGAACAGCUUCAAAUUCUCAACAUGGUUCAAGUCAUACCUUCCGUAAACUUGGUUGUGGGGCCAGGCUUUUGAAUAACAAUUAGUAGCGUUAAUUACUAUUACAGUAGAGUCUCACUUAUCCAAGCUAAGCAGGCCGGCAGAAGCUCAGAUAAGCGAAUAUCUUGGAUAAUAAGGAGGGAUUAAGGAAAAGCCUAUUAAAGAUCAAAUUAGGUUAUGAUUUUAUAACUAAUGGCCAAUGCCGGUUUUAUAUUUGCAUUUACAAAGUGCUUUGGGCAUGUUUGUCUCCUGAAACUGAAACAAACGCUCUUUCUUGUUUGUGAACUACAGUUGAAUCUCACUGAUCCAACAUAAACGGGCCGGCAGAAGCUCGGAUAAGCGAAUAUCUUGGAUAAUAAGGAGGGAUCAAGGAAAAGCCUAUUAAACAUCAAAUUAGGUUAUGAUUUUACAAAUUAAGCACCAAAACAUCAUGUUAUACAUCAAAUUUGACAGAAAAAGUAGUUCAAUACGCAGUAAUGUUAUGUUGUAAUUAUUGUAUUUACGAAUUUAGCACCAAAAUAUUAUGAUAUAUCGAAAACAUUGACUACAGAAAUGGCUUGGAUAAUCCAGAAGCUUGGGUAAGCGAAGCUUGGAUAAGUGAGACUCUACUGUAUGUACGCUGGAACUCAAUUGAUAGGCCCAGUCUUUUGAACUUGAACACGCCUAUCUGUAUUUUAUAAUGCAUUUUAUGAAUGUCCGAUGUAAGUUAAUUUUUUAACUGAUUUAUAGUGUAUUCUACAAUUUUUAUAUACGCAUUUUAUUGUAAGCCGCCCUGAGUACCCUGUUGAGUGAGAAGGGCGGGAUGUAAAUAUUGUAAUAAAUAAUUAAAUAAAUUUGACCAUAAAGGACUAUGUACCUAUCCAGCCUUAAAAAGGUAAAAAGUAAAGGUUUCCCCUGAUGUUAAGUCCAGUUGUGUCCAACUCUGGGGGUUAGCGCUCAUCUCCAUUUUUAAGCCGAAGAGCCGGCGUUGUCCAUAGACAACCUCCAAGGUCAUGUGGCCACUGGCAUGACUGCAUGGAACGCCGUUACCUUCCCGCCGGAGCGGUACCUAUUGAUCUACUCACAUUUGCAUGUUUUCGAACUGCUAGGUUGGCAGAAGCUGGAGCUAACAGCGGGCACUCACUCCGCUCCCCAGGUUUGAACCUGGGACCUUGCGGUCUGCAAGUUCAGCAGCUCAGCGCUUUAACACACUGAGCCACCGGAGGCUCCUCCUAACCAGCCUUACAUUCCCGAAACUCAGACAAGCUUUUGCAGCCCUACGAUUCCAAAGUAUGCCCUCAGCAGUGUUGGAUGCGAGAUACUCAGGCACUCCUUUGGCUUGUCGGUGAUGCGCUUGUGGGGCCCCAGAAACUGAAAAUCUGCCCCACUACUUGUUCACCUGCUCCCUAAAUUCUUGGAGGCCUGUUCUAUGGUACCUAUAAUCAAACACAGUUGCAGAAAAGAUCUACCUUUUACCCGAUUUCAAAUUCUCAGUCACUUAAAAGGUCUUUCUCUUUACCCUGGCAGCAAAUAAAAUCAGGGCAAGACUGAUUGCAGACACUAUGCUAUUGUCACUAUUUUAUUUUUACUAUGUUACUGUGUAUAAUUGUUUUUAUCUUGAUGUAUUUUUAUCUGCUGAUGAAGUGUAUUAUGUAUGUAUUUUAUUUCGUUCUUUUGUAAUUAUCUAGGCUUGGCCCCAUGUUAGUCGCCCUGAGUCCCUUCAGGGAGAUGGAGGCAGAGUACAAAAAUAAAGUUGUUUUUGUUAUUA